UACGUAGGGUGCAAGCGUUGUCCGGAAUUAUUGGGCGUAAAGAGCUCGUAGGCGGUCUGUUGCGUCGGCUGUGAAACCCGGGCUCAACUCCGGGCCUGCAGCCGAUACGGGCAGACUAGAGUUCGGCAGGGGAGGACUGGAAUUCCUGGUGUAGCGGUGAAAUGCGCAGAUAUCAGGAGGAACACCGGUGGCGAAGGCGGGUCUCUGGGCCGAUACUG
This 218-nucleotide ribosomal RNA is filed under the name uncultured bacterium. RNAcentral describes it as "partial 16S ribosomal RNA". It matches the Rfam family "Bacterial small subunit ribosomal RNA", at positions 524 to 742 of the family's 1533-position model. The record is from RNAcentral.